This 145-nucleotide unclassified non-coding RNA is filed under the name uncultured fungus. RNAcentral's name for it is "sequence contains ITS1, 5.8S rRNA gene". The record is from RNAcentral. Lineage: Eukaryota; Fungi.
CCGAGUGAGGGCCCCCGGCCCGACCUCCAACCCUUUGUGAUUACCCCUCUGUUGCCUCGGGGGCGACCCGGCCGCGCGCCGGGGCCCCCGGUGGACCAACCUCACAACCUGCAUCCGUGCGUCGGUCAAAUUGAUAAAUCAAUCA